GUGAGUAACGCGUGGGAAACCUGCCCUUCAAUGGGGGAUAACAGUUCUAACAAGCUGCUAAUACCGCAUACGACCGUUGAUCCGCAUGGUUUGACGGAGAAAGGUGGCCUCUCUUUGAAGCUGCCGUUGAAGGAUGGUCCCGCGUCCCAUUAGCUUGUUGGUGGGGUAAUGGCCUACCAAGGCGACGAUGGGUAGCCGGCCUGAGAGGGUGUCCGGCCACACUGGGACUGAGAUACGGCCCAGACUCCUACGGGAGGCAGCAGUCGAGAAGCUUCGGCAAUGGGCGAAAGCCUGACCGAGCGAUGCCGCGUGAGCGAAGAAGGCCCUAUGGGUUGUAAAGCUCUGUCAGAUUGGGAAGAAAACUCCGGGGUUAAUACCCCCGGAGUGUGACGGUACCAUCAGAGGAAGCACCGGCUAACUCCGUGCCAGCAGCCGCGGUAAUACGGA
This 447-nucleotide ribosomal RNA is filed under the name uncultured Pseudomonadota bacterium. RNAcentral describes it as "bacterial SSU rRNA". It matches the Rfam family "Bacterial small subunit ribosomal RNA", at positions 106 to 529 of the family's 1533-position model. The record is from RNAcentral. Lineage: Bacteria; Pseudomonadati; Pseudomonadota.